Non-coding RNA from Thalictrum thalictroides, 78 nucleotides. The record is from the annotation of a GenBank genome assembly. Lineage: Eukaryota; Viridiplantae; Streptophyta; Magnoliopsida; Ranunculales; Ranunculaceae.
GCGCUCUUAGUUCAGUUCGGUAGAACGAGGGUCUCCAAAACCCGAUGUCGUAGGUUCAAAUCCAAUCGCAGUUGUGGA